RNAcentral lists this long non-coding RNA (265 nucleotides) under Elaeis guineensis (African oil palm). RNAcentral describes it as "long non-coding RNA (EGUI_LNC068409)". Lineage: Eukaryota; Viridiplantae; Streptophyta; Magnoliopsida; Arecales; Arecaceae. The record is from RNAcentral.
CUCUCUCCUCUCUUCCCUUCCUCUAUUAAUUUUUCUUUCUCUCUAAAGCAUCUAAGAGAUCAAAAAAGAAGAAGAAGAUCAGCCUUCAAAGAUCCUUACGAGCUAGCACUCUCGAGGAGCCUGAUCAGCAUUCGUUCUUCAUGUGGACAAUCUGUAGAAGCCAGACACCUUUGUGUGAUUUUGAGCAAUAUGAAGGAACUCCAACCAUGCGAUACACUUGCAGAGAUCAGUAACCCAUGCUUCGGUAAUGAGUUCUUCACUUGUU